Molecule: ribosomal RNA, 503 nt
Filed under: uncultured bacterium
Lineage: Bacteria
Description: partial 16S ribosomal RNA
Rfam family: Bacterial small subunit ribosomal RNA
Source: RNAcentral
AUUGAACGCUGGCGGCAGGCCUAACACAUGCAAGUCGAACGGUAGCACAGAGAGCUUGCUCUCGGGUGACGAGUGGCGGACGGGUGAGUAAUGUCUGGGAAACUGCCCGAUAGAGGGGGAUAACUACUGGAAACGGUAGCUAAUACCGCAUAACGUCGCAAGACCAAGUGGGGGACCUUCGGGCCUCACACCAUCGGAUGUGCCCAGAUGGGAUUAGCUAGUAGGUGGGAUAAUGGCUCACCUAGGCGACGAUCCCUAGCUGGUCUGAGAGGAUGACCAGCCACACUGGAACUGAGACACGGUCCAGACUCCUACGGGAGGCAGCAGUGGGGAAUAUUGCACAAUGGGCGCAAGCCUGAUGCAGCCAUGCCGCGUGUAUGAAGAAGGCCUUCGGGUUGUAAAGUACUUUCAGCGGGGAGGAAGGCGGUGAAGUUAAUAGCUUCACCGAUUGACGUUACCCGCAGAAGAAGCACCGGCUAACUCCGUGCCAGCAGCCGCAGUGA